AGUGAACGCUGGCGGUAGGCCUAACACAUGCAAGUCGAACGGCAGCACAGUAAGAGCUUGCUCUUACGGGUGGCGAGUGGCGGACGGGUGAGGAAUACAUCGGAAUCUACUUUUUCGUGGGGGAUAACGUAGGGAAACUUACGCUAAUACCGCAUACGACCUACGGGUGAAAGCAGGGGAUCUUCGGACCUUGCGCGAUUGAAGGAGCCGAUGUCGGAUUAGCUAGUUGGCGGGGUAAAGGCCCACCAAGGCGACGAUCCGUAGCUGGUCUGAGAGGAUGAUCAGCCACACUGGAACUGAGACACGGUCCAGACUCCUACGGGAGGCAGCAGUGGGGAAUAUUGGACAAUGGGCGCAAGCCUGAUCCAGCCAUACCGCGUGGGUGAAGAAGGCCUUCGGGUUGUAAAGCCCUUUUGUUGGGAAAGAAGAGCAGCAGGUUAAUACCCCGCUGUUCUGACGGUACCCAAAGAAUAAGCACCGGCUAACUUCGUG
RNAcentral lists this ribosomal RNA (492 nucleotides) under uncultured bacterium. Its description in RNAcentral is "partial 16S ribosomal RNA". It matches the Rfam family "Bacterial small subunit ribosomal RNA", at positions 29 to 507 of the family's 1533-position model. The record is from RNAcentral.